AGUUGAUCCUGGCUUAGGAUGAACGCUGGCGGCGUGCCUAACACAUGCAAGUCGAACGAAGCAUGCUUGAAUGAGAUUCGUCGAAGGAUAGUAUGACUUAGUGGCGGACGGGUGAGUAAUGUAUGAGCAACCUGCCUUUCAGAGGGGGACAACAGUUGGAAACGACUGCUAAUACCGCAUAACGUAUUUGGGUGGCAUCACCUGGAUACCAAAGGAGCAAUCCGCUGAAAGAUGGGCUCAUAUCUGAUUAGUUAGUUGGCAGGGUAACGGCCUACCAAGACUGCGAUCAGUAGCCGGACUGAGAGGUUGAACGGCCACAUUGGGACUGAGAUACGGCCCAGACUCCUACGGGAGGCAGCAGUGGGGAAUAUUGGGCAAUGGGCGAAAGCCUCGACCCAGCAACGCCGCGUGAAGGAAGAAGGUCUUCGGAUUGUAAACUUCUUUUAUGAGGGACGAAGGACGUGACGGUACCUCAUGAAUAAGCCACGGCUAACUACGUGCCAGCCGCGGC
Molecule: ribosomal RNA, 511 nt
Filed under: uncultured bacterium
Lineage: Bacteria
Description: bacterial SSU rRNA
Rfam family: Bacterial small subunit ribosomal RNA
Source: RNAcentral